UUGGUAGGAUUCGACUUGCACGAACAUCUAUUCAAUGUAAAUGAAUGGCUUAACUAAUCAAGCUCCCCACCA
Molecule: transfer RNA, 72 nt
Filed under: Daphnia magna
Lineage: Eukaryota; Metazoa; Arthropoda; Branchiopoda; Diplostraca; Daphniidae
Description: tRNA-Val
Source: RNAcentral